This 23-nucleotide non-coding RNA is filed under the name Arabidopsis thaliana (thale cress). Lineage: Eukaryota; Viridiplantae; Streptophyta; Magnoliopsida; Brassicales; Brassicaceae. The record is from RNAcentral.
GACAAGUACUAGAUCAUAUUAGU